CCUACGGGAGGCAGCAGUAGGGAAUCUUUCACAAUGGGCGAAAGCCUGAUGGAGCAACGCCGCGUGCAGGAUGCAGGCCUUCGGGUUGUAAACUGCUUUUAUAAGCGAGAAAUAUGAUGGUAACUUAUGAAUAAGGAUCGGCUAACUACGUGCCAGCAGCCGCGGUCAUACGUAGGAUCCGAGCAUUAUCCGGAGUGACUGGGUGUAAAGAGUUGCGUGGGUGGCGAAGUAAGUAGCUAGUGAAAUCUGGUGGCUCAACCAUUCGGACGACUAGCUAAACUGCUAAGCUCGAAAGCGGUAGAGGUAACUGGAAUUUCUAGUGUAGGAGUGAAAUCCGUAGAUAUUAGAAGGAACACCGAUAGCGUAGGCAGGUUACUGGGACGGUUCUGACACUAAGGAACGAAAGCGUAGGGAGCAAACGGGAUUAGAUACCCCUGUAGUC
This 442-nucleotide ribosomal RNA is filed under the name uncultured bacterium. Its description in RNAcentral is "partial 16S ribosomal RNA". It matches the Rfam family "Bacterial small subunit ribosomal RNA", at positions 338 to 795 of the family's 1533-position model. The record is from RNAcentral.